RNAcentral lists this ribosomal RNA (254 nucleotides) under uncultured bacterium. RNAcentral describes it as "partial 16S ribosomal RNA". It matches the Rfam family "Bacterial small subunit ribosomal RNA", at positions 524 to 776 of the family's 1533-position model. The record is from RNAcentral.
UACGUAGGGGGCGAGCGUUGUCCGGAUUUAUUGGGCGUAAAGAGCUCGUAGGCGGUUUGGCAAGUCGGGUGUGAAAACUCCGGGCUCAACUCGGAGACGCCACUCGAUACUGCCAUGACUCGAGUCCGGUAGGGGAGUGCGGAAUUCCUGGUGUAGCGGUGAAAUGCGCAGAUAUCAGGAGGAACACCGGUGGCGAAGGCGGUCUGCUGGGCAGUAGCUGACACUGAGGCGCGACAGCGUGGGGAGCAAACAGG